UAAACGACUCUCGGCAACGGAUAUCUCGGCUCACGCAUCGAUGAAGAACGUAGCAAAAUGCGAUACUUGGUGUGAAUUGCAGAAUCCCGUGAACCAUCGAGUUUUUGAACGCAAGUUGCGCGCGAAGCCAUUCGGCUGAGGGCACGUCUGCCUGGGCGUCACG
Molecule: ribosomal RNA, 163 nt
Filed under: Bellium minutum
Lineage: Eukaryota; Viridiplantae; Streptophyta; Magnoliopsida; Asterales; Asteraceae
Description: 5.8S ribosomal RNA
Rfam family: 5.8S ribosomal RNA
About the family: 5.8S ribosomal RNA (5.8S rRNA) is a component of the large subunit of the eukaryotic ribosome. It is transcribed by RNA polymerase I as part of the 45S precursor that also contains 18S and 28S rRNA. Functionally, it is thought that 5.8S rRNA may be involved in ribosome translocation.
Source: RNAcentral